GAUCUCUCUGGUAUCAAUCAAGCUCACAUUUCCCUCUUACCCAAGAAGGAAACUCCUCUGGAGUUGCGUGAUUAUAGGCCAAUUUCUAUUGUGCAUAGUGUGCCAAAGCUUGCUAGCAAGGUCCUUGCCCGAAGGCUCCAACUACAGAUCCCCGCUCUGGUUCACUCUUUACAGUUUAGAUUCAUCAAUGACCGGUCUAUCGUGAAGAAUUUUGCUAUGGCUGCUGACAUGGUUCAAACAGCUCAUAAGCCGAAGCUUCCGAUGGGGGUUCUCAAGCUGGACUUCCAGAAGGCGUUCGACACUGUCAGCUAG
This 312-nucleotide ribosomal RNA is filed under the name Triticum aestivum (bread wheat). RNAcentral's name for it is "partial small subunit ribosomal RNA". The record is from RNAcentral. Lineage: Eukaryota; Viridiplantae; Streptophyta; Magnoliopsida; Poales; Poaceae.